CCUACGGGUGGCAGCAGUGGGGGAUAUUGGACAAUGGGCGGAACCCUGAUCCAGCGACGCCGCGUGAGUGAAGAAGGAUUUCGGUACGUAAAGCUCUGUCAGCAGGGAAGAAAGAAAUGACGGUACCUGACCAAGAAGCCCCCGCUAACUACGUGCCAGCCGCCGCGUUAAUACGUAGGGGGCAAGCGGUAUCCGGAAUUACUGGGUGUAAAGAUCGCGUAGACGGUUAAUUAAGUCUGCAGUGAAAGGCCGGGGCGCAACCCCGGGACUGCUCUGGAAACUGUUGAACUUGAGUGCAGGAGAGGUAAGCGGAAUUCCUAGUGUAGCGGUGAAAUGCGUAGAUAUUAGGAGGAACACCAGUGGCGAAGGCGGCUUACUGGACUGUAACUGACGUUGAGGCUCGAAAGCGUGGGGAGCAAACAGGAUUAGAUACCCCUGUAGUC
RNAcentral lists this ribosomal RNA (443 nucleotides) under uncultured bacterium. RNAcentral's name for it is "partial 16S ribosomal RNA". It matches the Rfam family "Bacterial small subunit ribosomal RNA", at positions 338 to 795 of the family's 1533-position model. The record is from RNAcentral.